This 141-nucleotide ribosomal RNA is filed under the name uncultured bacterium. RNAcentral describes it as "partial 16S rRNA". It matches the Rfam family "Bacterial small subunit ribosomal RNA", at positions 355 to 511 of the family's 1533-position model. The record is from RNAcentral.
UGGGGAAUUUUCCGCAAUGGGCGAAGGCCUGACGGAGCAAUGCCGCGUGGAGGUGGAAGGCCUACGGGUCGUCAACUUCUUUUCUCGGAGAAGAAACAAUGACGGUAUCUGAGGAAUAAGCAUCGGCUAACUCUGUCCCAG